UUGCUGCCCUUCUUGGCGCUAUGUGUUUUAACCAAGGUCACCUUUCUGAGGAAGGUUGUUUCCCCAGGUAGGGAUUUUUCCCUGAAGUUAGGGAGGGAAUAAAAUCCCCUAAACUAAGUGCCAGUUGGGUAGUUAAUCGCCUUAAGGUGCAUCAUCUUUACUCCCUGGAAUGGAGAUAAGAAACGCCCUGACCUUUGGAAUAGAAAUUGAUAGGAUUAAAAUCACCUGGUAUAAAUACAGAUGUAACAAGACCAUAAAACACAGAACCUGGGUAAGUGGCCUUGUUCUCCACCUUUUCCCUUUUGGUUCUGCUGACGCUGCCCGGCUCUCCUCAGCCUCCGGCCCGCUCUCUCCUUGAGACCGAGCACCAUGCCUUCAAUUAAACUGCAGAAUUCUGAUGGAGAGAUAUUUGAAGUUGAUGUUGAAAUUGCCAAACAAUCUGUGACUAUCAAGACCAUGUUAGAAGAUUUGGGAAUGGAUGAUGAAGGCGAUGAUGACCCAGUUCCUCUACCAAAUGUUAAUGCGGCAACGUUAGAAAAGCUCAUUCAGUGGUGCACCCACCACAGGGAUGACCCUCCUCCUCCUGACGAUGGUGAGAACAAAGAAAAGCGAACAGAUGAUAUUCCUGCUUGGGACCAAGAAUUCCUCAAAGUUGACCAAGGAACACUAUUUGAACUAAUUCUGGCUGCAAACUAUUUAGACAUCAAAGGUUUGCUUGAUGUUACAUGCAAGACUGUUGCCAAUAUGAUCAAGGGGAAAAGCCCUGAAGAGAUUCGCAAGACCCUCAAUAUAAAGAAUGACUUUACUGAAGAAGAGGAAGCCCAGGUCCGCAAAGAGAACCAGUGGUGUGAAGAGAAGUGAAAAGUUGUGCCUG
Myotis lucifugus (little brown bat) is the source of this 874-nucleotide RNA transcript. It is a transcript of the gene named S-phase kinase-associated protein 1 pseudogene, with no coding region annotated. The transcript has a single exon. The record is from RefSeq and is a predicted model, not a curated record. NCBI's taxonomy places the organism in Eukaryota, Metazoa, Chordata, Mammalia, Chiroptera, Vespertilionidae.